UCCGGCAUGGUCUAAUGGGUAGGAUACCUGGUUUUCACCCAGGAGGCCCGGGUUCGAUUCCCGGCGUCGGAA
Molecule: transfer RNA, 72 nt
Filed under: Rhipicephalus microplus (southern cattle tick)
Lineage: Eukaryota; Metazoa; Arthropoda; Arachnida; Ixodida; Ixodidae
Description: tRNA-Glu
Rfam family: tRNA
About the family: Transfer RNA (tRNA) molecules are approximately 80 nucleotides in length. Their secondary structure includes four short double-helical elements and three loops (D, anti-codon, and T loops).
Source: Rfam by way of RNAcentral